CCAGGUUCAUUGAACCCGCACAGACCCUUUCAUGCAUGUGUUUCUGAUUCUGAUUUCAUGCGCUGACAUCACUGAAACGGUAUGCCCGGGGUUAGUCUCAUGACCACCGAGCUGGGAGCGCAGGAAUUUUGGUGCCAGAAAAAUUGGAUAAUGUGGGACAUACUGACUUUGCUCUCCAGUUUCCAAAUCCUCCUGGGACACUUCUGAGCCUGCCGGAGGCUGUGGUCCUUGUCACUCACGUACAGGGAGGAUCGGGCCGCCGUCCCGGUCACCAGGGAUGAGUGUUCUUCGUGCUGGAUGCCGAGGACGGACCCUCAAAGCUGGUGUAAUUGAAACCAACCCUCUAAAUGCUUGUUCAUUCCUGAGGGAAAUUAAAGGUGAUUUCAAGCAGGAAGAUCACAGAUUUCAGAAAAAGGGCCUGGGGGGCUGCACCGUGGACUGGACGGCUGGGCUGCUGGAGCCCCGUUCGGGGAGAUUAGCUGCAGCCGAUUGCACUUUCCGGAGGGAGGGCCGGCCUCGUGGGGAGACCCCUGCCCUCCUGCCCCCUCUCCACUCGGCAGAGGUAAAGAGGCCCGCCAGCUUCAGGGCUUGCUGCCCGCGGCCCCCACCCCAGAAAGAGCCGAGGUGGAGUCAGGGAUCAGAGCAGGCACCCAGCUCAGACCGGGCUCCCUGAAAGCCCCCCCCAGCCUGUGUGGUGGGGGGAGCCUGGGCCAGGAGGGCAGACAAGGGAGGAGGCCCAGCGAAAAGCCCCCUGGUAGCCUCAUUCAGGUGUUGGGCGUUCUCAGACCAGUCUUCUCUAAACCUCUGUGCCUCAGUUUCCUCAGCUGUACAGAAAAAACGGAACCGGUACCCGAGAGCUGCGGGGCGGGUCGCAUUAAAUGCGGUGACGCCCGUGACGCCCUCAGGGUCCGGACCAUUGGGGGAACAACAGAUACUGAUGGAAUGUGAAUUGGCAUCCCAGCAGCUGAGGGAAAGAGCCCUUGAUUAAACACAGGGACUCGGCCAGGACACUCAUUUUCCGUAGAAGGUGAGGGCAGGCUCCACACGCGCCUUAGAAACAAAAGCUAUCUUUU
This is a long non-coding RNA of Leopardus geoffroyi (Geoffroy's cat), 1073 nucleotides long. RefSeq lists it as uncharacterized. The record is from RefSeq and is a predicted model, not a curated record. Lineage: Eukaryota; Metazoa; Chordata; Mammalia; Carnivora; Felidae. The transcript is spliced from 3 exons.